Molecule: ribosomal RNA, 254 nt
Filed under: uncultured bacterium
Lineage: Bacteria
Description: partial 16S ribosomal RNA
Rfam family: Bacterial small subunit ribosomal RNA
Source: RNAcentral
UACGUAGGUGGCAAGCGUUGUCCGGAAUUAUUGGGCGUAAAGCGCGCGCAGGCGGCCUCUUAAGUCUGAUGUGAAAGCCCACGGCUCAACCGUGGAGGGUCAUUGGAAACUGGGGGGACUUGAGUACAGAAGAGAAGAGUGGAAUUCCACGUGUAGCGGUGAAAUGCGUAGAGAUGUGGAGGAACACCAGUGGCGAAGGCGACUCUUUGGUCUGUAACUGACGCUGAGGCGCGAAAGCGUGGGGAGCAAACAGG